AGGGAGGAGCUCUCCGCGGCAGGGGGCGGAGGGGACGCCCGGGCGACUGGCGUGCCCCGCGCGUCGGCUUAGAGGCUGUGCGGAGGGCGCCUCGCGGCCUGGAGUGCUCAGCCGCACUCGGGCAAGUCCGGAGUAGUUGAGACCCGGGCGCCUCGCGCUCCCGAGAGCCGAACGAGAGGGAUCCUGGCCAUUGAGGCACCCGGGAGUAACCGGGGUGCAGCCUUAGGGUCAGGCUCGGGGUUCUGGUGUGCUGCGCAGGGAGUUUGUAGGUUCCCUGCCGGGUAGAGUUACGCUCCGUGCCUUUGUACAGGGCGAGGAAGGAGCCGGCAUGGCCUGGGCGCUGAAGCUGCCGCUGGCGGACGAGGUGAUUGAGUCGGGGCUGGUGCAGGACUUUGAUGCUAGCCUGUCCGGCAUUGGCCAGGAGCUGGGCGCUGGUGCGUACAGCAUGAGUGAUGUCCUUGCACUGCCCAUUUUUAAGCAAGAAGAGUCCAGUCUGCCUCCUGACACUGAGAACGAAAUCCUACCGUUCCAGUAUGUUCUUUGUGCUGCCACCUCUCCAGCAGUGAAGCUCCACGAUGAGACCCUGACGUACCUCAAUCAAGGACAGUCUUAUGAAAUCCGAAUGCUAGACAAUAGAAAACUGGGAGAACUUCCAGAAAUCAAUGGCAAGUUGGUGAAGAGCAUAUUUCGGGUAGUGUUCCACGACAGGCGGCUGCAGUACACUGAGCACCAGCAGCUGGAAGGCUGGAGGUGGAACCGGCCUGGAGACAGGAUUCUCGACAUAGAUAUUCCAAUGUCUGUGGGUAUAAUUGAUCCCAGGGCCAAUCCUACCCAGCUAAAUACAGUGGAGUUCCUGUGGGAUCCAGCGAAGAGGACGUCUGUGUUUAUUCAGGUGCACUGCAUCAGCACAGAGUUCACUAUGAGGAAGCAUGGUGGAGAGAAGGGGGUGCCAUUCCGAGUACAAAUUGAUACCUUCAAGGAAAAUGAGAAUGGGGAAUACACUGAGCACUUGCACUCGGCCAGCUGCCAGAUCAAAGUCUUCAAGCCUAAAGGUGCAGACAGAAAACAAAAAACUGAUAGAGAGAAAAUGGAGAAACGAACACCCCAUGAAAAAGAAAAAUACCAACCUUCCUAUGAAACAACCAUACUCACAGAGUGCUCCCCAUGGCCUGAGAUUACCUAUGUCAACAAUUCCCCAUCACCUGGCUUCAACAGUUCCCAUAGCAGUUUCUCUCUUGGGGAAGGAAAUGGCUCACCAAACCACCAGCCAGAGCCACCUCCUCCAGUCACUGACAACCUCUUGCCAACAACCACGCCUCAGGAAACCCAACAGUGGUUGCAUCGAAACCGGUUUUCCACAUUCACUAGGCUCUUCACCAACUUCUCAGGGGCAGAUUUAUUGAAACUAACUAGAGAUGAUGUGAUCCAAAUCUGCGGCCCUGCAGAUGGAAUCAGACUUUUUAAUGCAUUAAAAGGCCGGAUGGUGCGUCCACGGCUGACCAUCUAUGUCUGUCAGGAAUCAUUACAGUUGAGGGAGCAGCAGCAGCCACCACAACAGAAGCAGGAAGAUGGAGAUUCCAAUGGUACUUUCUUCGUGUACCAUGCUAUCUAUCUAGAAGAACUGACAGCUGUUGAAUUAACAGAAAAAAUUGCUCAACUUUUCAGUAUUUCUCCUCACCAGAUCAGCCAGAUUUACAAGCAAGGGCCAACAGGAAUCCAUGUGCUCAUCAGCGAUGAGAUGAUACAGAACUUUCAGGAAGAAGCCUGCUUUAUCCUGGACACAAUGAAAGCAGAAACCAGUGAUAGCUAUCACAUCAUUCUGAAGUAGGAGGAGCAUUCCACAUUUGCUGGCUGCUGCUUCUGUCCUCUUGACGACUGCCCUUUGAAGGGGACAUGACCAGACAUUGAAGGGGAAGAAGAGGAAAUGUGAAAAAAUGGUGGAGCUUGCUGGGGGACCGGCAUCUAGCAUCUGAUGUCCCAUCCCAUGAAGUGCCUGUGCUCACCAUCAUUUUUUACUACAGCUCUGUGGAAACUGAUGAGUUAUUCAGUGAAGAAGGGAGGACAUCCCUAAGUAAUGAUAAUCAAGACCUGAAAACCAGACAGGUACCUGUGACCGCGAACCUCAAGCACAGAGUGGGAGGUGGGAGAGGCCAGAGUGUCUCUGACUCCCGGAGCUCCUUGUUCUUGAUUGGUACUCUCACGCUAUGUGUUUAUAAAUGAGUUAUUCCAGCCUCACUUUUCCUCCUGUCUUAUUUUGGCAUAGUGUUCUUUAUGUAAGAUUUGCAAAAAUUACAUUCUUUUCCCAUUCAGACUCACUCAGUGUCUAUGUUCUGCCUUCCAAAUGAACAUGUCUGUGUGCACAUGUCUGUAUGCAUGUGCAGAAUUGUAAAGUAUUAGGGGUCUUUUUGUUUUGUUUUGCUUUUUGAGACAGGGUUUCUCUGCAUAAUCCUGGCUGUCCUGAAAUUCACUCUAGACCAGGCUGGCUUACACAGAGAUCCACCUGCCUCUGCCUCCCGUGCUGAGAUUAAAGGCAUACGUCAUCACCACCUGGCCACAUACAAAGUUUUAUCCAGAAAUUUCCUCAAAUUUUGUUGAGAUGAACAAAGAUAAUAUUAAAAGAUUCUGUAUUGGAUUUGAAUUUAUGUGUGUAUGUUUUUGAAGCAUUUUAUAAAGAUUACAUACACACACACAGUGUUUUGUUGGUGUUCAUUAAAAUCAACCUGUAACGUGGUUUCUAA
This is an RNA transcript of Arvicola amphibius (Eurasian water vole), 2738 nucleotides long. It is a transcript of the gene named transcription factor CP2, with no coding region annotated. Lineage: Eukaryota; Metazoa; Chordata; Mammalia; Rodentia; Cricetidae. The record is from RefSeq and is a predicted model, not a curated record. The transcript is spliced from 16 exons.